CGAGUAAGCCGGAUGGACGCAAGCGCAGCCCGCAAGGGCGCGCCUGAGGAAAGUCCGGGCUCCAUAGGGCGGAAUGCCGGCUAACGGCCGGUGAGGGCGACCUUAAGGAUAGUGCCACAGAAACAAACCGCCGGCAUUUGCCGGUAAGGGUGGAACGGUGCGGUAAGAGCGUACCAGCGCCCGGGAGACCGGGCGGCUAGGUAAACCCCAUUCGGAGCAAGACCCUUGAACCUUCCGGUUCACAGAAAAGCGCAGGGCGGCCCGUCCGCUUUUCAUUGCGGUCGCUAAAGCAUGCCGGCAACGGCAUGAUUAGAUAGAUGUUCAUCCAAGACAGAACCCGGCUUAUAGGCUUGCUCGGCAG
This 361-nucleotide RNase P RNA is filed under the name Bacillota bacterium. RNAcentral's name for it is "RNase P RNA component class A". It matches the Rfam family "Bacterial RNase P class A". From Rfam's summary of the family: Ribonuclease P (RNase P) is a ubiquitous endoribonuclease, found in archaea, bacteria and eukarya as well as chloroplasts and mitochondria. Its best characterised activity is the generation of mature 5'-ends of tRNAs by cleaving the 5'-leader elements of precursor-tRNAs. The record is from RNAcentral. Lineage: Bacteria; Bacillati; Bacillota.